CAAAGAGUAGUUUAAGUUAAAAUACUGGCUUUGGG
RNAcentral lists this transfer RNA (35 nucleotides) under Lycodon semicarinatus (Loo-Choo big-tooth snake). The record is from RNAcentral. Lineage: Eukaryota; Metazoa; Chordata; Lepidosauria; Squamata; Colubridae.